Molecule: non-coding RNA, 30 nt
Filed under: Homo sapiens (human)
Lineage: Eukaryota; Metazoa; Chordata; Mammalia; Primates; Hominidae
Source: RNAcentral
UGCUACACUAUGCUAUAUUACCAUGCAAAA